This 468-nucleotide ribosomal RNA is filed under the name uncultured bacterium. RNAcentral describes it as "partial 16S ribosomal RNA". It matches the Rfam family "Bacterial small subunit ribosomal RNA", at positions 28 to 507 of the family's 1533-position model. The record is from RNAcentral.
GACGAACGCUGGCGGCGUGCUUAACACAUGCAAGUCGAACGGAAAGGCCCUGCUUUUGUGGGGUGCUCGAGUGGCGAACGGGUGAGUAACACGUGAGUAACCUGCCCCUGACUGUGGGAUAACUUCAGGAAACUGGGGCUAAUACCGGAUAGGAGCUCCUGCUGCAUGGUGGGGGUUGGAAAGUUUCGGCGGUUGGGGAUGGACUCGCGGCUUAUCAGCUUGUUGGUGGGGUAGUGGCUUACCAAGGCUUUGACGGGUAGCCGGCCUGAGAGGGUGACCGGACACACUGGGACUGAGAUGCGGCCCAGACUCGUACGGGAGGCAGCAGUGGGGAAUAUUGCACAAUGGGCGGAAGCAUGAUGUAGCAAAGCCGCGUGGGGGAUGACGGCAUUCGGGUUGUAAACCGAUUUCGCCUGUGACGAAGCGUGAGUGACGGUAAUGGGUAAAGAAGCACCGGCUAACUACGUG